Non-coding RNA from Vicia faba (fava bean), 222 nucleotides. NCBI's taxonomy places the organism in Eukaryota, Viridiplantae, Streptophyta, Magnoliopsida, Fabales, Fabaceae. The record is from the annotation of a GenBank genome assembly.
AUGUUUUAUUAUUAUGAUUUGGAAAAUAUUAAUGAAGAAAGGGUUGGUGAUACACAAAAUACACUUUAUGUGAGAUUAAGGUUAUUUCAGACUAAUUCAAUUCAGUUCAAUUCGUCAUCAAAAUCAAGCUUCAGAUCCGACCCACUUAGCUCAGAUCUCUCUUUUCAUCUUUCUCUCUCAAUCAUUCAAUCCAUCCCAGUUUGUAUACUAGCUGUGUUAUAG